Molecule: unclassified non-coding RNA, 227 nt
Filed under: Glomeraceae sp.
Lineage: Eukaryota; Fungi; Glomeromycota; Glomeromycetes; Glomerales; Glomeraceae
Description: partial contains 5.8S ribosomal RNA and internal transcribed spacer 2
Rfam family: 5.8S ribosomal RNA (bases 1-71)
Source: RNAcentral
GUGAAUCAUCAAAUCUUUGAACGCAAAUUGCACUCUCUGGUAUUCCGGAGAGUAUGCCUGUUUGAGGGUCAGUUUAAAUAAAAAUCGGUGUGGUUGCUGCCUUUCGUGGUGACGCACCGGAUUUGGGUCGUUUUGCCUUCGGUUAAGUGACCUUAAAUUUUGCAUGAUUUUUUUCGAACGUAUUUAAAUAAUUUACGUACGGUUGUAAUAUUGGAUAUUAGGUGUGA